UGCCCGUACUACUAUGACUGAAAUAGAGUUUGUGUCACAAAUCCCACCCUUUUCCUGAUAUAGUGCCCUUCUGAACAGGGCCCAUAGGGCUUUGGUCAACAGUAGUGCACCAUGCAGGGAAUAAAGUGCAGUUUGGGACGUAAACAAAUAUAUUUUGUUUCAAAACUUCCAACUGGCAUAAAAUUCCAGUAAUAAUAGCAAUUUACUGGAUGGAAAAUCUGGUUUGAAAUACAUUACAUACUAUGAUAUAAUUAUAUGCUGAACUGCUCAGUAUGAACAACUUAAUGUUUUUUGGAAUAAUUGUAAACAGAAAAAGUACUGACUUGGCGUUUUGUCUAUGAUAGCAUUUGGUCACACGUGAGUGCUACUGUAUUAAACAGCUACGGUACAGUACAGUACAGUGACUGUUCAUUACAAAUCUGUGGUCCAAAAUCUCAGCAUAAAUCCUCUACCAAUUAUUCCAUAGCUCUGUCAGCCCUCUCACGGUUCACUUAAAGUACACUGAGCAGAAAGAACAUUCCUGUCAGAGCAUCUGUUUAGUAGAGCACUACACAUCUCUAGGUUCAGACCAGAGAGAUUUAGGUUUUGACAAGAGACACAGAUGUUGAAGGUUGUAGUAGCCUGAAGGAGGGAAGGAGAAGCGAAGGAGGGAGGGAAGAAUAGUUGGAGGGAGGGAAGAAGAGUAGGAGGGAGAGAAGAAGAGUAGGAGGGAGGGAAGAAGAGUAGUAGGGAGAGAAGAAGAGAAGGAGGGAGAGAAGAAGAGUAGGAGGGAGAGAAGAAGAGUAGGAGGGAGGGAAGAAGAGUAGGAGGGAGAGAAGAAGAGUAGGAGGGAGGGAAGAAGAGUAGGAGGGAGGGAAGAUGAGUAGGAGAGAAGUAGGAGGGGGGAAGAAAAGUAGGAGGGAGAGAAGAAGAUUAGGAGGGAAGUAGGAGGGAGAGAAGAGUAGGAGGGGAGAAGAAGAGUAGAAGGGAGCGAAGAAGAGUAGGAGGGAGAGAAGAAGAGUAGAAGGGAAGAAGAGUAGGAGGGAGGGAAGAAGUGUAGGAGGGAAGAAGAGUAGGAGGAAGAAGAGUAGGAGGGGGAGAAGAAGAGUAGAAGGGAGGGAAGAAAAGUAGGAGGGAGAGAAGAAGAGUAGGAGGGGGAGAAGAAGAGUAGGAGGGAGUGAAGAAGAGUAGGAGGGAUUGAAGAAGAGUAGGAGGGAAGUAGGAGGGAGAGAAGAAUAGUAGGAGGGGCAGAAGAAGAGUAGGAGGGAGGGAAGUAGAGUAGGAUGGAGAGAAGAAGAGGAGAGAGUUCUUCUUAGGGAUAGAUUCUAUCAGAUCUGCGCUAGCAGACAUCCUCAUAGCGGUUGUUUUGGCGGCGGCAGAGGUGGAAUGCAUUAGAACUGUCAAAUCCACAAGCGGCUCCCAGAUUUAUACCUAAAGUGGACAUUGCAAUUGGCUGCACAGAGUCACAUUAAGGGAAAUUUCGAACAUUGGAGUUUGAGAUCUAAUCUACACCUCGGUUAGUCUAAUAUAAAUCUUCAUGACAUAAUUGAAUGAUUUUUUUAGUUUCAGUGUAAUUAUUUCUAUAUAGCCUAUACUUUAUUGUUCUGAACUUCAUGACAAUGAUCACAUGAGCUGCUGCUCACCGAUUUAUGAGUAGUUACACCUCCGACACCGCCAAAACAUCAGCUAUGUGGGUGUCGGCUAUUGCCGCUUUACACUUGAUCUAAUUUAAUCUAGGCCUUAGUUGCCUGGUCCAAUAGCUGUUUGUGCUCUCUUGCACAAACAGAUCUGAGACCAGGCUACAAAAUAGUCACAGCAAAGACCAUAGGAACUGGAGAGACAGCACAAACAGAUCUGAGACCAGGCUACAAAAGAGUGAUAGCAAGGACCAUAGGAACUGGAGAGACCGCACAAACAGAUCUGAGACCAGACAAUCUCCUUAGCGAUGGAGGAUAGUAAGUCUCUUUAGCGAUGUAAAGUUUUGAGAGAGUCUUUGAGCUGUUUGGUGAAGGAGGCGUGGAGGGUCUGAGACAAGGUAUCCAGCCCCUUGGCGAUGUCUGCUGCUGCCUGGAAGAGGCCCUCAAACGUUAGGGACUCCUCUUUGAUUCUGUCAUGAAAGGAGACAAGACAAACAGGGUUAGCAGGGAGAGAGGGGAGGAUGGAGGGAGGGAGUGAAGAAGGGAGGGAGGGAGAGAGCGGAGGAGGGAG
This 2187-nucleotide long non-coding RNA is filed under the name Salmo salar (Atlantic salmon). RNAcentral describes it as "lncRNA (ENSSSAG00000110605.1, ENSSSAG00000120209.1)". The record is from RNAcentral. Lineage: Eukaryota; Metazoa; Chordata; Actinopteri; Salmoniformes; Salmonidae.